GGUAUAGCUCAGUGGUAGAGUACUUGCCUAGGAAAUGGGAGGCCCUGGGUUCAGUCCCCAGGACCA
RNAcentral lists this transfer RNA (66 nucleotides) under Marmota monax (woodchuck). Its description in RNAcentral is "tRNA.Pro". Lineage: Eukaryota; Metazoa; Chordata; Mammalia; Rodentia; Sciuridae. The record is from RNAcentral.